Molecule: ribosomal RNA, 808 nt
Filed under: uncultured Pelagibacteraceae bacterium
Lineage: Bacteria; Pseudomonadati; Pseudomonadota; Alphaproteobacteria; Candidatus Pelagibacterales; Candidatus Pelagibacteraceae
Description: bacterial SSU rRNA
Rfam family: Bacterial small subunit ribosomal RNA
Source: RNAcentral
ACGCUGGCGGCACGCCUAAUACAUGCAAGUCGAACGAAGUAGCAAUACUUAGUGGCAGACGGGUGAGUAACAUGUGGGUAUCUUCCCUUUGGUGAGGAAUAACACGAGGAAACUUGUGCUAAUACCUCAUAAGUCUUUACGGAGAAAGCUUUAUGCGCCAUUGGAUGAGCCUGCACUUGAUUAGUUUGUUGGUGGGGUAAUGGCCUACCAAGACUGUGAUCAAUAGCUGAUUUGAGAGGAUGAUCAGCCACAUUGGGACUGAGACACGGCCCAAACUCCUACGGGAGGCAGCAGUAGGGAAUCUUGCACAAUGGAGGAAACUCUGAUGCAGCGAUGCCGCGUGAGUGAAGAAGGCCCUUGGGUUGUAAAGCUCUUUCGUCGGGGAAGAAAAUGACUGUACCCGAAUAAGAAGGUCCGGCUAACUUCGUGCCAGCAGCCGCGGUAAUACGAAGGGACCUAGCGUAGUUCGGAAUUACUGGGCUUAAAGAGUUCGUAGGUGGUUAAAAUAGUUGGUGGUGAAAUCCCAGAGCUUAACUCUGGAACUGCCAUCAAAACUUUUUAGCUAGAGUAUGAUAGAGGAAAGCAGAAUUUCUAGUGUAGAGGUGAAAUUCGUAGAUAUUAGAAAGAAUACCGAUUGCGAAGGCAGCUUUCUGGAUCAUUACUGACACUGAGGAACGAAAGCAUGGGUAGCGAAGAGGAUUAGAUACCCUCGUAGUCCAUGCUGUAAACGAUGUGUGUUAGACGUUGGAAAUUUAUUUUCAGUGUCGCAGCAAAAGCGAUAAACACACCGCCUGGGGAGUACGACCGC